RNAcentral lists this ribosomal RNA (372 nucleotides) under uncultured organism. RNAcentral's name for it is "bacterial SSU rRNA". It matches the Rfam family "Bacterial small subunit ribosomal RNA", at positions 526 to 896 of the family's 1533-position model. The record is from RNAcentral.
CGGGGGGGGCAAGCGUUGUUCGGAAUUACUGGGCGUAAAGGGCUCGUAGGCGGCCAACUAAGUCAGACGUGAAAUCCCCAGGCUCAACCUGGGAACUGCGUCUGAUACUGGAUGGCUUGAAUCCGGGAGAGGGAUGCAGAAUUCCAGGUGUAGCGGUGAAAUGCGUAGAUAUCUGGAGGAAUACCGGUGGCGAAGGCGGCAUCCUGGACCGGCAUUGACGCUGAGGAGCGAAAGCCAGGGGAGCAAACGGGAUUAGAUACCCCGGUAGUCCUGGCCCUAAACGAUGAAUGCUUGGUGUAACGGGUAUCGAUCCCUGUUGUGCCGAAGCUAACGCAUUAAGCAUUCCGCCUGGGGAGUACGGUCGCAAGGCUG